RNAcentral lists this ribosomal RNA (253 nucleotides) under uncultured bacterium. RNAcentral's name for it is "partial 16S ribosomal RNA". It matches the Rfam family "Bacterial small subunit ribosomal RNA", at positions 524 to 776 of the family's 1533-position model. The record is from RNAcentral.
UACGUAGGGUGCAAGCGUUGUCCGGAAUUAUUGGGCGUAAAGAGCUCGUAGGCGGUCUGUCGCGUCUGCUGUGAAAACCCGCGGCUCAACUGCGGGCCUGCAGCCGAUACGGGCAGGCUAGAGUUCGGUAGGGGAGACUGGAAUUCCUGGUGUAGCGGUGAAAUGCGCAGAUAUCAGGAGGAACACCGGUGGCGAAGGCGGGUCUCUGGGCCGAUACUGACGCUGAGGAGCGAAAGCGUGGGGAGCGAACAGG